GAUGAACGCUGGCGGCGUGCUUAACACAUGCAAGUCGAACGAUGAAGCCCAGCUUGCUGGGUGGAUUAGUGGCGAACGGGUGAGUAACACGUGAGUAACCUGCCCUUGACUCUGGGAUAAGCCUGGGAAACUGGGCCUAAUACUUGCUAUGACUUCUCAUCGCAUGGAGGGGGGUGUAAAGAUUUAUUGGUAUUGGAUGGACUCUCGGCCUAUCAGCUUGUUGGUGAGGUAAUGGCUCACCAAGGCGACGACGGGUAGCCGGCCUGGGAGGGUGACCGGCCACACGGGGACUGAGACACGGCCCAGACUGCUACGGGAGGCAGCAGUGGGGAAUAUUGCACAGUGGGCGCAAGCCUGAUGCAGCGACGCCGCGUGAGGGAUGACGGCCUUCGGGUUGUAAACCUCUUUCAGUAGGGAAGAAGCGAGAGUGACGGUACCUGCAGAAGAAGCGCCGGCUAACUACGUG
RNAcentral lists this ribosomal RNA (466 nucleotides) under uncultured bacterium. Its description in RNAcentral is "partial 16S ribosomal RNA". It matches the Rfam family "Bacterial small subunit ribosomal RNA", at positions 28 to 507 of the family's 1533-position model. The record is from RNAcentral.